Molecule: RNA transcript, 540 nt
Organism: Myotis brandtii (Brandt's bat)
Lineage: Eukaryota; Metazoa; Chordata; Mammalia; Chiroptera; Vespertilionidae
Source: RefSeq, a predicted model, not a curated record
AAAAAUGGCGGACGACAUGGACCAGCAACAAACUACCAACACUGUAGAAGAGCCCCUGGAUCUUAUCAGGCUCAGCCUGGAUGAGCGAAUUUAUGUGAAAAUGAGAAAUGACAGAGAGCUUAGAGGUAGAUUACAUGCUUAUGAUCAACAUUUAAAUAUGAUAUUGGGAGAUGUGGAAGAAACUGUGACUACUAUAGAAAUUGAUGAAGAAACAUAUGAAGAGAUAUAUAAAUCAACAAAACGGAAUAUUCCAAUGCUUUUUGUCUGGGGAGAUGGUGUUGUCCUAGUUGCCCCUCCAUUGAGAGUUGGUUGAAACAAAGAAUAUAUCCUGUGUGGAAAUUAGGAGACUUUAUAUGAUUGCGUCUUUAAAGGUAGAAGAUAUUCAAAAGAGAAACCUGCGUAAAUUUUGAUAUUAAGAAAUGACCAAGGAUUCUUCUGCUCCUGAAAUGAGUUUAUUUGCACAUAACUCACAAAUUCUAAAGCUAAAUGGCAUUUUUAUUUUUCUCCAACCCUUCCAAUAAAUGUGAUCACAAAAACGCA